Molecule: ribosomal RNA, 253 nt
Filed under: uncultured bacterium
Lineage: Bacteria
Description: partial 16S ribosomal RNA
Rfam family: Bacterial small subunit ribosomal RNA
Source: RNAcentral
UACGUAGGGUGCGAGCGUUGUCCGGAAUUAUUGGGCGUAAAGAGCUUGUAGGCGGUUUGUCGCGUCUGCUGUGAAAAUCCGGGGCUCAACCCCGGACUUGCAGUGGGUACGGGCAGGCUAGAGUGUGGUAGGGGAGACUGGAAUUCCUGGUGUAGCGGUGAAAUGCGCAGAUAUCAGGAGGAACACCGAUGGCGAAGGCGGGUCUCUGGGCCGAUACUGACGCUGAGGUGCGAAAGCGUGGGGAGCAAACAGG